GAUGAACGCUGGCGGCGUGCCUAAUACAUGCAAGUCGAGCGGAAAGGCCUCUUCGGAGGUACUCGAGCGGCGGACGGCUGAGUAACACGUAGGAACAUACCCUAAAGUGAGGGAUAACUGCUCGAAAGAGUAGCUAAUACCGCAUGUGGUCUUCGGAUUAAAGCUUCGGCGCUUUGGGAAUGGCCUGCGUCUGAUUAGCUAGAUGGUGAGGUAAUGGCUCACCAUGGCGACGAUCAGUAGCUGGUCUGAGAGGAUGAUCAGCCAGACUGGGACUGAGACACGGCCCAGACUCCUACGGGAGGCAGCAGUAGGGAAUUUUCCACAAUGGGCGAAAGCCUGAUGGAGCAACGCCGCGUGCAGGGUGAAUGCCUUCGGGUUGUAAACUGCUUUUAUAUGUGACGAAUAUGACGGUAGCAUAUGAAUAAGGAUCGGCUAACUCCGUGCCAGCAGCCGCAGUAA
RNAcentral lists this ribosomal RNA (459 nucleotides) under uncultured bacterium. RNAcentral describes it as "partial 16S ribosomal RNA". It matches the Rfam family "Bacterial small subunit ribosomal RNA", at positions 28 to 523 of the family's 1533-position model. The record is from RNAcentral.